UACGUAGGUGGCGAGCGUUGUCCGGAUUUACUGGGCGUAAAGAGCGCGCAGGCGGUCGUUCAAGUCGAGUGUGAAAGCCCCCGGCUCAACUGGGGAGGGUCAUUCGAUACUGAUCGACUCGAAGGCAGGAGAGGGAAGUGGAAUUCCCGGUGUAGUGGUGAAGUGCGUAGAUAUCGGGAGGAACACCAGUGGCGAAGGCGACUUCCUGGCCUGUUCUUGACGCUGAGGCGCGAAAGCUAGGGGAGCAAACGGG
Molecule: ribosomal RNA, 253 nt
Filed under: uncultured bacterium
Lineage: Bacteria
Description: partial 16S ribosomal RNA
Rfam family: Bacterial small subunit ribosomal RNA
Source: RNAcentral